UACAGAGGGUGCAAGCGUUGUUCGGAAUCAUUGGGCGUAAAGGGCGUGUAGGCGGUUUGUUAAGUCAUGUGUGAAAUCCCUCGGCUCAACCGGGGAACGACGCAUGAAACUGGCAAGCUAGAGUACCAAAGAGGGGGGUGGAAUUCCCGGUGUAGCGGUUAAAUGCGUAGAUAUCGGGAGGAACACCUGUGGCGAAGGCGACCCCCUGGUUGGAUACUGACGCUGAGACGCGAAAGCGUGGGGAGCAAACAGG
This 253-nucleotide ribosomal RNA is filed under the name uncultured bacterium. RNAcentral's name for it is "partial 16S ribosomal RNA". It matches the Rfam family "Bacterial small subunit ribosomal RNA", at positions 524 to 776 of the family's 1533-position model. The record is from RNAcentral.